RNAcentral lists this long non-coding RNA (990 nucleotides) under Apteryx rowi (Okarito brown kiwi). RNAcentral describes it as "lncRNA (ENSARWG00000009980.1)". Lineage: Eukaryota; Metazoa; Chordata; Aves; Apterygiformes; Apterygidae. The record is from RNAcentral.
AAAACAGCAAAUGUUUUCCCACAGUAUCUCUUAAAACAGGUGUCUGCGUUGUGUCGUGUCCCCCCCCCGCCCUUUUAUCUUUCAGGAAGAGGUCCACCAACGAAGACUCAAAGUUGCUUUGGGGCUGUGUCCUCGGGAACAUCUGUCUUCCUCUUCGCUAAAGAGAGAGUACCGACCAAGGGCUCAAACUAUCAUGUCCCAGGAGGACAACUCCAGAAUGGCCUACAAAAUACUGGUGAGUGUUCUCUGACUGGGGGGAGGAGAGCAGUGCCUCAGUGGUCAUCUGUGGCGAACAGAGUGAAGGAGAAAAGUGGGAUGUGUGGCACUUCUUUUGCUGUGUCUUUCCAGCCUGUUUUAAAUGGGGAGCAGACUGUUACUGCACGUGUCCCCAGAAAAAGGAGUGUCCCUUUGAAAGAAGCAGAGGAAUGUGGUGCAAGUUUGUGCACUGUGCUGCCUACUCAGCCAGUUCAAAGAAGGGGGAAGGGGAUUACUGUGGUACUGAGAGCGCUCUCUCUGCUGUGCCUGACAUGCCUGCUGCAAAUAAGCAGUUGUAGAGCCCUUCUGCAGGUGGUGUGCCUGAAGUGCACUGUGGAUUAACACUUGGUUAGAAAUGAGGUGUUUGUGGCUGUCCUGAUGAUAGUUAGUGGAAAAGGACCUUGUCUGUGUAAUGGUGACUUACUCCCUUCUUAGUGUCUGAAGACCACACUAUGUGAGGAAGUAAGCAGUGUCCAUCUCACCCCAGGAUGAGCCCAGCAACUUCCUCUUCCCCCUGCUUUAAGUGACUGUUAUGCAGUGACUUUGCCAACCCUUGAGUCACUCGCUCAGACUGGGAUAUCACUGGAGUGUCACUAGAAAUUUUUUGGAGUUGAGUGGGGAGCAGAAGGGAAAGGCCCACCAGACUUCUGAUUGGCCUCUGUCACUUCCAUAUAUGCAGAUAUCCAUUAGAAAUGGUACUGUUCACUUUUGGGCAUAUAGCCAGCACCUUGCACA